AACGAACGCUGGCGGCAGGCCUGACACAUGCAAGUCGAGCGCCCCGCUAGGGGUUCGGCGGACGGGUGAGUAUCGCGUGGGAACGUACCCUUUUCUACGGAAUAUCCUCGGGAAACUGUGAGUAAUACCGUAUGUGUCCUUCGGGGGAAAGAUUUAUCGGCAAGGGAUCGGCCCGCGUUGGAUUAGGUAGUUGGUGGGGUAAUGGCCUACCAAGCCGACGAUCCAUAGCUGGUUUGAGAGGAUGAUCAGCCACACUGGGACUGAGACACGGCCCAGACUCCUACGGGAGGCAGCAGUGGGGAAUCUUAGACAAUGGGCGCAAGCCUGAUCUAGCCAUGCCGCGUGAGCGAUGAAGGCCUUAGGGUUGUAAAGCUCUUUCAGGGGGGAAGAUAAUGACUGUACCCCCAGAAGAAGCCCCGGCUAACUCCGUG
This 431-nucleotide ribosomal RNA is filed under the name uncultured bacterium. RNAcentral describes it as "partial 16S ribosomal RNA". It matches the Rfam family "Bacterial small subunit ribosomal RNA", at positions 29 to 507 of the family's 1533-position model. The record is from RNAcentral.